GACGAACGCUGGCGGCGUGCCUAAUACAUGCAAGUAGAACGCACAGUUUAUACCGUAGCUUGCUACACCAUAGACUGUGAGUUGCGAACGGGUGAGUAACGCGUAGGUAACCUGCCUGGUAGCGGGGGAUAACUAUUGGAAACGAUAGCUAAUACCGCAUAAUAUUAAUUAUUGCAUGAUAAUUAAUUGAAAGGUGCAAUUGCACCACUACCAGCUGGACCUGCGUUGUAUUAGCUAGUAGGUGAGGUAACGGCUCACCUAGGCGACGAUACAUAGCCGACCUGAGGGGGGGGUCGGCCACACUGGGACUGAGACAAGGCCCAGAAUCCUACGGGAGGCAGCAGUAGGGAAUCUUCGGCAAUGGACGAAAGUCUGACCGAGCCACGCCGCGGGAGGGAAGAAGGGUUUCGGAUCGUAAAGAUCUGUUGUAAGAGAAGAACGGGUGUGAGAGUGGAAAGUUCACACUGUGACGGUAUCUGACCAGAAAGGGACGGCUAACUACGUG
Molecule: ribosomal RNA, 505 nt
Filed under: uncultured bacterium
Lineage: Bacteria
Description: partial 16S ribosomal RNA
Rfam family: Bacterial small subunit ribosomal RNA
Source: RNAcentral